Molecule: long non-coding RNA, 267 nt
Organism: Herpailurus yagouaroundi (jaguarundi)
Lineage: Eukaryota; Metazoa; Chordata; Mammalia; Carnivora; Felidae
Exons: 2
Source: RefSeq, a predicted model, not a curated record
ACCCAUAAAACGAGGGAGACUGGACUAAGCCCAUGGUCCUCAAUCUUUUUUCCCACAGAGCCAUGAAGGGAAUGGACCCAUGAAGGACAAUGCCCACAGGAGGGUGCACUGGGGUGUCCAGUGGCUACCAGACGCAUGACAUCAUGACAGACUGAAUGCGGACACAGAUCUGAGAAUCCAGCUGACUUCUGGGCCACACAUUAAAACAAAGACACUUUUCUCAUUAAUUUUUUUGAAAAAUAUUUAAAAAAACAUUAUUUCUGUUGA